This 74-nucleotide transfer RNA is filed under the name bacterium. Its description in RNAcentral is "tRNA-Asp". It matches the Rfam family "tRNA". Rfam says of the family: Transfer RNA (tRNA) molecules are approximately 80 nucleotides in length. Their secondary structure includes four short double-helical elements and three loops (D, anti-codon, and T loops). The record is from RNAcentral.
GGGGCUGUAGCUCAGUUGGUUAGAGCGCUUCCUUGUCAUGGAAUAGGUCGCCGGUUCGAGUCCGGUCAGCCCCG